This 1522-nucleotide ribosomal RNA is filed under the name Leifsonia shinshuensis. RNAcentral describes it as "bacterial SSU rRNA". It matches the Rfam family "Bacterial small subunit ribosomal RNA". The record is from RNAcentral. Lineage: Bacteria; Bacillati; Actinomycetota; Actinomycetes; Micrococcales; Microbacteriaceae.
GGCCAUCCUCGUGUUGACGUGGAUCUAACAUGCAAUCUAACGAUGAACCUGGAGCUUGCUCUAGGGGAUUAGUGGCGAACGGGUGAGUAACACGUGAGUAACCUGCCCUUGACUCUGGGAUAACCUCCGGAAACGGAAGCUAAUACCGGAUAUGACGCACGGAGGCAUCUCCUGUGCGUGGAAAGAACUUCGGUCAAGGAUGGACUCGCGGCCUAUCAGGUAGUUGGUGAGGUAACGGCCCACCAAGCCUACAACAGGGUAGGCAGGCUGACAGUUCCAGCGGGGACGCCUCAGACCUGAGUGACGGCUCACACUUCUACCGGGUAGGCCAGGCAGUGGUGCGAUAGUUAGCACGGAGUUGGCGCAAUGCCUGACUGCAGCAAGCGCCACCGUGAGGGUAUGACGGCUUACGGGUUGUAAGCCUCUUUUAAGUAGGGAGGAAGCGAAAGGUGAACGGUACCUGGCAGUUAAAAAGCACCAGGCUAACUACCGUCACAGCAGCCGCGGUAAUACGUAGGCGUGACGAGCGUGGUCCGGGAAUUAUUAGUGCGUAAAGAGCUCGUAGGCAGGUCUGUCGCGUCUGCUGUGAAAACUCGAGGCUCAACCUCGGGCCUGCAGUGGGUACGGGCAGACUAGAGUGCGGUAGGGGAGAAUGGAAUUCCUGGUGUAGCGGUGGAAUGCUAGAGAUAUCAGGAGGAACACCGAUGGCGAAGGCAGAUCUCUGGGCCGUAACUGACGCUGGAGAGCGAAAGCGUGAGGAGCGAACAGGAUUAGAUACCCUGGUAGUCCACGCCGUAAACGUUGGGCGCUAGAUGUGGGGACCAUUCCACGGUUUCCGUGUCGCAUCUAGGUCAUUAAGCGCCCCGCCUGGGGAGUACGGCCGCAAGGCUAAAACUCAAAGGAAUUGACCGGGGCCCUCACCAGCGGCCGGGCAUGCGAAUUGAUUCUAUGCACCGCUAAGAACCUUACCGAGGCAUGACGUACACGAGUACGCUCUACAAAAACAGAACUCUUUGGAGACUCUUGAACAAGGUGGUGCAUGAUUGUCGUCAGCUCGGUUCUUGAGAUGUUGGGUUUAAGACUCGGUAUGAGCUCGACCCGUCCGUUCUCUGUUGUCCAGCGCGAUAGUGACUGGUAACUCCUAGGCAUACUGGCCGUGCCACGUCGAAUGAGAGGGGGGAUGACAUUCACAUAAACAUUCACCCUAUGUCUUUGGUGGCCUUCCUGAUGGCUACAAUGGCCGGUACAAAGGGCUGCCAUACCGUAAGGUGGAGCGAAUCCCAAAAAGCCGCUCUCAGUUCGCAUUGAGGUCUGCAACUCGACCUCAUGAAGUCGGAGUCGCUAGUAAUCGCAGAUCAGCAACGCUGCGGUGAAUACGUUCCCGGGCCUUGUACACACCGCCCGUCAAGUCAUGAAAGUCGGUAACACCCGAAGCCGGUGGCCCAACCCUUGUGGAGGGAGCCGUCGAAGGUGGGAUCGGUGAUUAGGACUAAGUCGAAGAAGAAACAUAAGAGGAUUCCCC